GAGGGUAUAACUCAGUGGCAGAGCACAUGCUUAGCAUGCACGAGGUGUUGGGUUCAAUCCCCAGUACCUCCA
Molecule: transfer RNA, 72 nt
Filed under: Camelus bactrianus (Bactrian camel)
Lineage: Eukaryota; Metazoa; Chordata; Mammalia; Artiodactyla; Camelidae
Also listed under: 2 other names
Rfam family: tRNA
About the family: Transfer RNA (tRNA) molecules are approximately 80 nucleotides in length.
Source: Rfam by way of RNAcentral